GACGAACGCUGGCGGCGUGCUUAACACAUGCAAGUCGAACGGAAAGGCCCUGCUUGCAGGGUGCUCGAGUGGCGAACGGGUGAGUAACACGUGGGUGAUCUGCCCCUUACUUUUGGAUAAGCCUGGGAAACUGGGUCUAAUACUGGAUAGGACCAUGCUGUAGGUGGUGUGGUGGAAAGAUUAGUUUCGGUAAGGGAUGAGCUCGCGGCCUAUCAGCUUGUUGGCGGGGUAAUGGCCUACCAAGGCGUCGACGGGUAGCCGGCCGGAGAGGGUGGACGGCCACAUUGGGACUGAGAUACGGCCCAGACGCCUACGGGAGGCAGCAGUGGGGAAAAUUGCGAAAUAGGCGCAAGCCUGAUGCAGCGAAGCCGCGUGGGGGAUGACGGCCUUCGGGUUGGAAACUCCUUUCAGCCAUGACGAAGCCCUUGUGGUGACGGUAGUGGUAGAAGAAGCACCGGCUAACUACGUG
This 469-nucleotide ribosomal RNA is filed under the name uncultured bacterium. RNAcentral describes it as "partial 16S ribosomal RNA". It matches the Rfam family "Bacterial small subunit ribosomal RNA", at positions 28 to 507 of the family's 1533-position model. The record is from RNAcentral.